This 250-nucleotide long non-coding RNA is filed under the name Mytilus galloprovincialis (Mediterranean mussel). The record is from RNAcentral. Lineage: Eukaryota; Metazoa; Mollusca; Bivalvia; Mytilida; Mytilidae.
CUGUUCAUUUGAAGAUAGAACAAGAACAUUUGACAUAUUUAACUGAUUUAAAGAUGUUUGAAAUUUUGCUUUAUCCUUUAAUUAUUAAUUUUGGAUGUAACGUCUUCUGAUUGGCUAAUUUAUUUUGUAUGAGCCCAUAGACAUAAUUUAGUCAUGUGACCAUGACAUCAUCAAUGUUUUUUCAUGGUUUUCUAAGGUUUAAAAUGGAAUUUAAAAUUAAAUUAUAAGAAAUGACUAUAAUAUUUUUUCU